UACGUAGGGCGCAAGCGUUGUCCGGAAUUAUUGGGCGUGAAGAGCUCGUAGGCGGCUUGUCACGUCGGGUGUGAAAGCCCGGGGCUUAACCCCGGGUCUGCAUUCGAUACGGGCUAGCUAGAGUGUGGUAGGGGAGAUCGGAAUUCCUGGUGUAGCGGCGAAAUGCGCAGAUAUCGGGAAGAACACCCGUGGCGAAGGCGGCUCUCUGGGACGGUACUGACGCUGAGACGCGAAAGCGUGGGGAGCGAACAGG
RNAcentral lists this ribosomal RNA (253 nucleotides) under uncultured bacterium. RNAcentral describes it as "partial 16S ribosomal RNA". It matches the Rfam family "Bacterial small subunit ribosomal RNA", at positions 524 to 776 of the family's 1533-position model. The record is from RNAcentral.